This is a non-coding RNA of Pelobates cultripes (western spadefoot toad), 556 nucleotides long. Lineage: Eukaryota; Metazoa; Chordata; Amphibia; Anura; Pelobatidae. The record is from the annotation of a GenBank genome assembly.
CCUCCCCUUCCCUCAGCCUCCCUCCCCCUCUCUCACUGCCUUUCACAGCCUGCGUUUGCUUUCGGAGAGAUGUGGUAACACAUCGUUACAGGGAACCAAGUUUGCGGCUGAGGGACGGAGCCUUGCUGUGUGGACCUCCCGCCGUCACAGCACCUGCUGCCAGGACUGCCUCAUACACCUUGCCCGGACCGCUCACUACUUGCUCGGCAUUGAGAGCGCUCCUCUGACAACUUCUCCCCCGGCUACAAGUUUCUGUGCCCGAGCUGGGAAUCUCCUCCCGGGCUGCUUUGUGAGCUCUGACAUUGGCUGGACGUCCCAGUACCUGCGUCCCCAGGUUAUUACCUAGACCAGCCCGCGGGAGGGCAGUGUGCCAGCCGAGAGCCCGGCCAGAGAGGCAGCUGAUUCCGGGGCAGGAGCCACAAGUGCCCCCUUUCCCUCCUACCCUUACAGUCAGGCAGUCCGGGCAUCUCCUCCAGCAGGACUAUGGCAGCCGGUGCAGGGACCCUGCUGACAGUGUGCUUGCUGUGUGCGGCCACCCUGAGGACAGGUAUGGAUC